CCUACGGGGGGCAGCAGUGAGGAAUAUUGGUCAAUGGGCUUACGCCUGAACCAGCCAAGUCGCGUGAGGGAAGACUGCCCUCUGGGUUGUAAACCUCUUUUGUCAGGGAGCAACGCCGGCUACGUGUAGCCGGACUGAGAGUACCUGAAGAAAAAGCAUCGGCUAACUCCGUGCCAGCAGCCGCGGUCAUACGGAGGAUGCGAGCGUUCUCCGGAUUUAUUGGGGUUAAGGGGUGCGUAGGCGGAAUGUCAAGUCAGCGGUAAAACCGCGGGGCUAAACCUCGCUCCGCAGUGGAAACUGGCGGUCUUGAGUGGGCGAGAGGUAUGCGGAAUGCGUGGUGUAGCGGUGAAAUGCAUAGAUAUCACGCAGAACUCCGAUUGCGAAGGCAGCAUACCGGCGCCCAACUGACGCUGAAGCACGAAAGCGUGGGUAUCGAACAGGAUUAGAUACCCUUGUAGUC
This 460-nucleotide ribosomal RNA is filed under the name uncultured bacterium. RNAcentral describes it as "partial 16S ribosomal RNA". It matches the Rfam family "Bacterial small subunit ribosomal RNA", at positions 338 to 795 of the family's 1533-position model. The record is from RNAcentral.